AGGGGAGUGUCGCCGCCCCUUCGUCUCCUCCCCGUGCGACUCUCGGCAAACUUUUAACUCCUUUACCAGUGAAUUGUUCCACGCCUACCUCUGCUGCCCCGACCCUUAGUGGCACCAGGAGCGACGCAGUGCUGUAUCUAACCCUCCCUUUGCGAUGCUUUUACUGAGAUAUCGUUCAAAAUAAUAAGAAAAACGCGACAAGGACCCCUGCCACAAAGGACACGCAACAAAGGCCCCUGGGGAAUACUGCAAUAAGAACGUUGUAAUUAUCACGGCGAGACAUCACAAGAGGAGGAGGAAGAUAAUUCAAAGUGUAAUAAACAGAGUUGCUUCUUCUGUGUCCUCGAGAGAGAGAGCAAGAGAGAGAGAGAGUGUGAGGGAAAAGACACGGAAAAGAGGAAGAGAAAAGGGUGAAAAGGAAAGACUUACGACAACUCCCUAACUCCGUGUGGUUCUGCCAAGACACCUGUGUGACGCGCGCACAAGUUUGCCCGCGUUACCGCAACUCCCCGUCACGUCACGAGGCCUCCGCUGCUAAAGCGCUCCUUCUCCCCCGAGCCCCCACCGCCCCGCCUGGCUGCAGCAUGGGCGCGGGGGCGUGGGCGGUGGGCGGCGCUGCGGGCGUGGGCGGCUGUGUGGGCGUGCACAGCCGCCACCACAAUCACAGCCACACCCACAAGACCUAAUGUUGUGGAGGAGGUUCCGGGUCUUGAUGUGGGCCCUUUGGUGGGGGUGGAGCGUGGCGCGGGGGGGCGUGGCCAGACUGCCCUCGGCCGGUACCCC
Molecule: long non-coding RNA, 783 nt
Organism: Scylla paramamosain (green mud crab)
Lineage: Eukaryota; Metazoa; Arthropoda; Malacostraca; Decapoda; Portunidae
Exons: 4
Source: RefSeq, a predicted model, not a curated record